Non-coding RNA from Acanthosepion pharaonis, 112 nucleotides. The record is from the annotation of a GenBank genome assembly. NCBI's taxonomy places the organism in Eukaryota, Metazoa, Mollusca, Cephalopoda, Sepiida, Sepiidae.
UUACGGUCACAUCAUGUUUAAAUACAGGUUCCCUUACGAUCUCGAAGUUAAGCAACGUCGAGCCUAAUUAGUACUCAGAUGGCUGGCCGUUCGGGAAUACAAGGUGCUACAA